GCUUGCUUAGGCAUACCAUGUACUAAAAUUAGAACGACACAGAGUUUAGCAUGGCCCCCGUGCAAGGACGACACACAAAUCUAUGAUGUGUUCUUUACUUAA
Apodemus sylvaticus (European woodmouse) is the source of this 102-nucleotide small nuclear RNA. The record is from RefSeq and is a predicted model, not a curated record. Lineage: Eukaryota; Metazoa; Chordata; Mammalia; Rodentia; Muridae.